Non-coding RNA from Borealophlyctis nickersoniae, 94 nucleotides. The record is from the annotation of a GenBank genome assembly. Lineage: Eukaryota; Fungi; Chytridiomycota; Chytridiomycetes; Rhizophlyctidales; Borealophlyctidaceae.
GGUUUCAUGGUGUAGUUGGUUAUCACGUAUGCCUCACAGUCAAUAAUUUGUCUGAGUCCGCAUAAGGUCGCCGGUUCGAUCCCGGCUGAAACCA